Molecule: ribosomal RNA, 354 nt
Filed under: Halichoeres melanurus (tail-spot wrasse)
Lineage: Eukaryota; Metazoa; Chordata; Actinopteri; Labriformes; Labridae
Description: partial 12S ribosomal RNA
Rfam family: Bacterial small subunit ribosomal RNA
Source: RNAcentral
CUUGUCUUUAUCCGCCUAUAUACCGCCGUCGUCAGCUUACUCUGUGAAGACCCUAUAGUAGGCACAAUCGGCACAGCCCAAAACGCCAGGUCGAGGUGUAGCGUAUGGAAAGGGAAGAAAUGGGCUACAUUCAGUAAAUUAAUGCAUACGGAUGACAUCCUGAAAAAAAUGUCUGAAGGAGGAUUUAGCAGUAAGUAGAGAAUAGAGUGCUCUACUGAAUCUGGCCCUGAAGCGCGCACACACCGCCCGUCACUCUCCCCGAGCUAAUAACAACACAUAAUUAAUAAACUAGACCUGCAAAGGGGAGGCAAGUCGUAACAUGGUAAGUGUACCGGAAGGUGCACUUGGGUGAAC